GGAUGUGAGGGCGAUCUGGCUGCGACAUCUGUCACCCCAUUGAUCGGCAGGGUUGAUUCGGCUGAUCUGGCUGGCUAGGCGGGUGUCCCCUUCCUCCCUCACCGCUCCAUGUGCGUCCCUCCUGAAGCUGCGAGCUCGGUGGAAGAGGACGGCCUUCCCCGAAUAGAGACGGACUGGUCUUCGGUCGAGGGUAUACGAGUAGCUGCGCACCCCUGCUAGAACCUCCAAACAAGCUCUCAAGAAUAUAGCAUCUGGGAGUCGGGCGGUAGGGCAGUGGGUUAAGCACACGUGGCAAAGCGCAGGGACCGGUGUAAGGAUCCCUG
Molecule: small nuclear RNA, 323 nt
Filed under: Erinaceus europaeus (western European hedgehog)
Lineage: Eukaryota; Metazoa; Chordata; Mammalia; Eulipotyphla; Erinaceidae
Description: 7SK RNA
Rfam family: 7SK RNA (bases 1-290)
About the family: 7SK was discovered as an abundant small nuclear RNA in the mid-70s but a possible function has only recently been suggested.
Source: Rfam by way of RNAcentral